RNAcentral lists this ribosomal RNA (398 nucleotides) under uncultured bacterium. Its description in RNAcentral is "bacterial SSU rRNA". It matches the Rfam family "Bacterial small subunit ribosomal RNA", at positions 29 to 418 of the family's 1533-position model. The record is from RNAcentral.
AACGAACGCUGGCGGCGCGCCUAAUACAUGCAAGUCGAGCGAGAAGACGUAGCAAUACGUUUGUAAAGCGGCGAACGGGUGAGGAAUACAUGGGUAACCUACCCUCGAGUGGGGAAUAACUAGCCGAAAGGUUAGCUAAUACCGCGUACGCUCCUCGGACUUCGGUUCAGGGAGGAAAGCGAUACCGUGGGUAUCGCGCUCUUGGAUGGGCUCAUGUCCUAUCAGCUUGUUGGUGGGGAACGGCUCACCAAGGCUUCGACGGGUAGCUGGUCUGAGAGGACGAUCAGCCACACUGGCACUGCGACACGGGCCAGACUCCUACGGGAGGCAGCAGUAAGGAAUAUUGCGCAAUGGGCGAAAGCCUGACGCAGCGACGCCGCGUGGGGGAUGAAGGUCUU